GGGUUGUGAGGUUAAGCGACUAAGCGUACACGGUGGAUGCCCUGGCAGUCAGAGGCGAUGAAGGACGUGCUAAUCUGCGAUAAGCGUCGGUAAGGUGAUAUGAACCGUUAUAACCGGCGAUUUCCGAAUGGGGAAACCCAGUGUGUUUCGACACACUAUCAUUAACUGAAUCCAUAGGUUAAUGAGGCGAACCGGGGGAACUGAAACAUCUAAGUACCCCGAGGAAAAGAAAUCAACCGAGAUUCCCCCAGUAGCGGCGAGCGAACGGGGAGCAGCCCAGAGCCUGAAUCAGUAUGUGUGUUAGUGGAAGCGUCUGGAAAGGCGCGCGAUACAGGGUGACAGCCCCGUACACAAAAAUGCACAUGCUGUGAGCUCGAUGAGUAGGGCGGGACACGUGGUAUCCUGUCUGAAUAUGGGGGGACCAUCCUCCAAGGCUAAAUACUCCUGACUGACCGAUAGUGAACCAGUACCGUGAGGGAAAGGCGAAAAGAACCCCGGCGAGGGGAGUGAAAAAGAACCUGAAACCGUGUACGUACAAGCAGUGGGAGCACGCUUAGGCGUGUGACUGCGUACCUUUUGUAUAAUGGGUCAGCGACUUAUAUUCUGUAGCAAGGUUAACCGAAUAGGGGAGCCGAAGGGAAACCGAGUCUUAACUGGGCGUUAAGUUGCAGGGUAUAGACCCGAAACCCGGUGAUCUAGCCAUGGGCAGGUUGAAGGUUGGGUAACACUAACUGGAGGACCGAACCGACUAAUGUUGAAAAAUUAGCGGAUGACUUGUGGCUGGGGGUGAAAGGCCAAUCAAACCGGGAGAUAGCUGGUUCUCCCCGAAAGCUAUUUAGGUAGCGCCUCGUGAAUUCAUCUCCGGGGGUAGAGCACUGUUUCGGCAAGGGGGUCAUCCCGACUUACCAACCCGAUGCAAACUGCGAAUACCGGAGAAUGUUAUCACGGGAGACACACGGCGGGUGCUAACGUCCGUCGUGAAGAGGGAAACAACCCAGACCGCCAGCUAAGGUCCCAAAGUCAUGGUUAAGUGGGAAACGAUGUGGGAAGGCCCAGACAGCCAGGAUGUUGGCUUAGAAGCAGCCAUCAUUUAAAGAAAGCGUAAUAGCUCACUGGUCGAGUCGGCCUGCGCGGAAGAUGUAACGGGGCUAAACCAUGCACCGAAGCUGCGGCAGCGACGCUUAUGCGUUGUUGGGUAGGGGAGCGUUCUGUAAGCCUGCGAAGGUGUGCUGUGAGGCAUGCUGGAGGUAUCAGAAGUGCGAAUGCUGACAUAAGUAACGAUAAAGCGGGUGAAAAGCCCGCUCGCCGGAAGACCAAGGGUUCCUGUCCAACGUUAAUCGGGGCAGGGUGAGUCGACCCCUAAGGCGAGGCCGAAAGGCGUAGUCGAUGGGAAACAGGUUAAUAUUCCUGUACUUGGUGUUACUGCGAAGGGGGACGGAGAAGGCUAUGUUGGCCGGGCGACGGUUGUCCCGGUUUAAGCGUGUAGGCUGGUUUUCCAGGCAAAUCCGGAAAAUCAAGGCUGAGGCGUGAUGACGAGGCACUACGGUGCUGAAGCAACAAAUGCCCUGCUUCCAGGAAAAGCCUCUAAGCAUCAGGUAACAUCAAAUCGUACCCCAAACCGACACAGGUGGUCAGGUAGAGAAUACCAAGGCGCUUGAGAGAACUCGGGUGAAGGAACUAGGCAAAAUGGUGCCGUAACUUCGGGAGAAGGCACGCUGAUAUGUAGGUGAAGCGACUUGCUCGUGGAGCUGAAAUCAGUCGAAGAUACCAGCUGGCUGCAACUGUUUAUUAAAAACACAGCACUGUGCAAACACGAAAGUGGACGUAUACGGUGUGACGCCUGCCCGGUGCCGGAAGGUUAAUUGAUGGGGUUAGCGCAAGCGAAGCUCUUGAUCGAAGCCCCGGUAAACGGCGGCCGUAACUAUAACGGUCCUAAGGUAGCGAAAUUCCUUGUCGGGUAAGUUCCGACCUGCACGAAUGGCGUAAUGAUGGCCAGGCUGUCUCCACCCGAGACUCAGUGAAAUUGAACUCGCUGUGAAGAUGCAGUGUACCCGCGGCAAGACGGAAAGACCCCGUGAACCUUUACUAUAGCUUGACACUGAACAUUGAGCCUUGAUGUGUAGGAUAGGUGGGAGGCUUUGAAGUGUGGACGCCAGUCUGCAUGGAGCCGACCUUGAAAUACCACCCUUUAAUGUUUGAUGUUCUAACGUUGACCCGUGAUCCGGGUUGCGGACAGUGUCUGGUGGGUAGUUUGACUGGGGCGGUCUCCUCCUAAAGAGUAACGGAGGAGCACGAAGGUUGGCUAAUCCUGGUCGGACAUCAGGAGGUUAGUGCAAUGGCAUAAGCCAGCUUGACUGCGAGCGUGACGGCGCGAGCAGGUGCGAAAGCAGGUCAUAGUGAUCCGGUGGUUCUGAAUGGAAGGGCCAUCGCUCAACGGAUAAAAGGUACUCCGGGGAUAACAGGCUGAUACCGCCCAAGAGUUCAUAUCGACGGCGGUGUUUGGCACCUCGAUGUCGGCUCAUCACAUCCUGGGGCUGAAGUAGGUCCCAAGGGUAUGGCUGUUCGCCAUUUAAAGUGGUACGCGAGCUGGGUUUAGAACGUCGUGAGACAGUUCGGUCCCUAUCUGCCGUGGGCGCUGGAGAAUUGAGGGGGCUGCUCCUAGUACGAGAGGACCGGAGUGGACGCAUCACUGGUGUUCGGGUUGUCAUGCCAAUGGCACUGCCCGGUAGCUAAAUGCGGAAGAGAUAAGUGCUGAAAGCAUCUAAGCACGAAACUUGCCCCGAGAUGAGUUCUCCCUGACUCCUUGAGAGUCCUGAAGGAACGUUGAAGACGACGACGUUGAUAGGCCGGAUGUGUAAGCGCAGCGAUGCGUUGAGCUAACCGGUACUAAUGAACCGUGAGGCUUAACCUUACAACGCCGAAGGUGUUU
RNAcentral lists this ribosomal RNA (2929 nucleotides) under Escherichia coli. RNAcentral describes it as "23S ribosomal RNA". It matches the Rfam family "Bacterial large subunit ribosomal RNA". Lineage: Bacteria; Pseudomonadati; Pseudomonadota; Gammaproteobacteria; Enterobacterales; Enterobacteriaceae. The record is from RNAcentral.